RNAcentral lists this transfer RNA (87 nucleotides) under Escherichia coli. RNAcentral describes it as "tRNA-Leu". It matches the Rfam family "tRNA". Rfam says of the family: Transfer RNA (tRNA) molecules are approximately 80 nucleotides in length. Their secondary structure includes four short double-helical elements and three loops (D, anti-codon, and T loops). RNAcentral also lists the same sequence under 4 other names. The record is from RNAcentral. Lineage: Bacteria; Pseudomonadati; Pseudomonadota; Gammaproteobacteria; Enterobacterales; Enterobacteriaceae.
GCGAAGGUGGCGGAAUUGGUAGACGCGCUAGCUUCAGAUGUUAGUGUCCUUACGGACGUGGGGGUUCAAGUCCCCCCCCUCGCACCA